Molecule: ribosomal RNA, 2906 nt
Filed under: Klebsiella oxytoca
Lineage: Bacteria; Pseudomonadati; Pseudomonadota; Gammaproteobacteria; Enterobacterales; Enterobacteriaceae
Description: 23S ribosomal RNA
Rfam family: Bacterial large subunit ribosomal RNA
Source: RNAcentral
GGUUAAGCGACUAAGCGUACACGGUGGAUGCCCUGGCAGUCAGAGGCGAUGAAGGACGUGCUAAUCUGCGAAAAGCGUCGGUAAGGUGAUAUGAACCGUUAUAGCCGGCGAUGUCCGAAUGGGGAAACCCAGUGCAAUUCGUUGCACUAUCGUUAACUGAAUACAUAGGUUAACGAGGCGAACCGGGGGAACUGAAACAUCUAAGUACCCCGAGGAAAAGAAAUCAACCGAGAUUCCCCCAGUAGCGGCGAGCGAACGGGGAGCAGCCCGGAGUCUGAAUCAGCUUGUGUGUUAGUGGAAGCGUCUGGAAAGUCGCAGGGUACAGGGUGAUACUCCCGUACACUAAAACACACAGGCUGUGAACUCGAAGAGUAGGGCGGGACACGUGGUAUCCUGUCUGAAUAUGGGGGGACCAUCCUCCAAGGCUAAAUACUCCUGACUGACCGAUAGUGAACCAGUACCGUGAGGGAAAGGCGAAAAGAACCCCGGCGAGGGGAGUGAAAAAGAACCUGAAACCGUGUACGUACAAGCAGUAGGAGCCCACUAGUUGGGUGACUGCGUACCUUUUGUAUAAUGGGUCAGCGACUUAUAUUCUGUAGCAAGGUUAACCGUAUAGGGGAGCCGCAGGGAAACCGAGUCUUAACUGGGCGUUAAGUUGCAGGGUAUAGACCCGAAACCCGGUGAUCUAGCCAUGGGCAGGUUGAAGGUUGGGUAACACUAACUGGAGGACCGAACCGACUAAUGUUGAAAAAUUAGCGGAUGACUUGUGGCUGGGGGUGAAAGGCCAAUCAAACCGGGAGAUAGCUGGUUCUCCCCGAAAGCUAUUUAGGUAGCGCCUCGUGAAUUCAUCUUCGGGGGUAGAGCACUGUUUCGGCUAGGGGGUCAUCCCGACUUACCAACCCGAUGCAAACUACGAAUACCGAAGAAUGUUAUCACGGGAGACACACGGCGGGUGCUAACGUCCGUCGUGAAGAGGGAAACAACCCAGACCGCCAGCUAAGGUCCCAAAGUCAUGGUUAAGUGGGAAACGAUGUGGGAAGGCCCAGACAGCCAGGAUGUUGGCUUAGAAGCAGCCAUCAUUUAAAGAAAGCGUAAUAGCUCACUGGUCGAGUCGGCCUGCGCGGAAGAUGUAACGGGGCUAAACCAUGCACCGAAGCUGCGGCAGCGACACUAUGUGUUGUUGGGUAGGGGAGCGUUCUGUAAGCCGUUGAAGGUGGCCUGUGAGGGUUGCUGGAGGUAUCAGAAGUGCGAAUGCUGACAUAAGUAACGAUAAUGCGGGUGAAAAACCCGCACGCCGGAAGACCAAGGGUUCCUGUCCAACGUUAAUCGGGGCAGGGUGAGUCGACCCCUAAGGCGAGGCCGAAAGGCGUAGUCGAUGGGAAACAGGUUAAUAUUCCUGUACUUGGUGUUACUGCGAAGGGGGGACGGAGAAGGCUAUGUUGGCCGGGCGACGGUUGUCCCGGUUUAAGCAUGUAGGCGGAUGUUCCAGGUAAAUCCGGAACGUUAUUAACGCUGAGGUGUGAUGACGAGGCACUACGGUGCUGAAGUGACAAAUGCCCUGCUUCCAGGAAAAGCCUCUAAGCAUCAGGUAACAUCAAAUCGUACCCCAAACCGACACAGGUGGUCAGGUAGAGAAUACCAAGGCGCUUGAGAGAACUCGGGUGAAGGAACUAGGCAAAAUGGUGCCGUAACUUCGGGAGAAGGCACGCUGAUGGUAAGUGAAGUGACUUGCUCAUGGAGCUGAAAUCAGUCGAAGAUACCAGCUGGCUGCAACUGUUUAUUAAAAACACAGCACUGUGCAAACACGAAAGUGGACGUAUACGGUGUGACGCCUGCCCGGUGCCGGAAGGUUAAUUGAUGGGGUUAUCCUCACGGAGAAGCUCUUGAUCGAAGCCCCGGUAAACGGCGGCCGUAACUAUAACGGUCCUAAGGUAGCGAAAUUCCUUGUCGGGUAAGUUCCGACCUGCACGAAUGGCGUAAUGAUGGCCAGGCUGUCUCCACCCGAGACUCAGUGAAAUUGAACUCGCUGUGAAGAUGCAGUGUACCCGCGGCAAGACGGAAAGACCCCGUGAACCUUUACUAUAGCUUGACACUGAACACUGGUCCUUGAUGUGUAGGAUAGGUGGGAGGCUUUGAAGUGUGGACGCCAGUCUGCAUGGAGCCGUCCUUGAAAUACCACCCUUUAAUGGCUGGUGUUCUAACGUUGGCCCCUAAUCGGGGUUGCGGACAGUGUCUGGUGGGUAGUUUGACUGGGGCGGUCUCCUCCUAAAGAGUAACGGAGGAGCACGAAGGUCAGCUAAUCCUGGUCGGACAUCAGGAGGUUAGUGCAAUGGCAUAAGCUGGCUUGACUGCGAGCGUGACGGCGCGAGCAGGUGCGAAAGCAGGUCAUAGUGAUCCGGUGGUUCUGAAUGGAAGGGCCAUCGCUCAACGGAUAAAAGGUACUCCGGGGAUAACAGGCUGAUACCGCCCAAGAGUUCAUAUCGACGGCGGUGUUUGGCACCUCGAUGUCGGCUCAUCACAUCCUGGGGCUGAAGUAGGUCCCAAGGGUAUGGCUGUUCGCCAUUUAAAGUGGUACGCGAGCUGGGUUUAGAACGUCGUGAGACAGUUCGGUCCCUAUCUGCCGUGGGCGCUGGAGAAUUGAGGGGGGCUGCUCCUAGUACGAGAGGACCGGAGUGGACGCAUCACUGGUGUUCGGGUUGUCAUGCCAAUGGCAUUGCCCGGUAGCUAAAUGCGGAAGAGAUAAGUGCUGAAAGCAUCUAAGCACGAAACUUGCCCCGAGAUGAGUUCUCCCUGACUCCUUGAGAGUCCUGAAGGAACGUUGAAGACGACGACGUUGAUAGGCCGGGUGUGUAAGCGCAGCGAUGCGUUGAGCUAACCGGUACUAAUGAACCGUGAGGCUUAACCUU